UAAAAACCCGUAUUUUAUGGAUCCGGAAAGCUAGGAGAUAUAAGGAAAAAGUGUUGAAAAGUUUGCUUUGGAAUAGACUUGCAAAGAACCGUAUUUUUGCUGGUCCGACCUGAGCUAGUCUAAUUUAAAAUGAGCAAUAAUAACGAUUUAGUUCUUCAAAUUCAAGAUACUGGCGACUUUAAAUUUCAAUUUCAAGAGUUAUGUUUGGCUGCCUCAAAUAAUAUUUGCCUGCUUUGAUGGCAUUGUUAAAUUAUCACAAGUCACUGAUCUAAGAUUGCGAUUGUGGAUUUUACUUGAUGUAGAUAAGCAAAAAGAUACUGCACGUCUGCAAGGAAGUCGCAUAAGGUAUUUUAUCAAAACUGGUGUACCCAAAGACAACAAUUUAUCUGUUCUAAAAGAAAGCCUGAAUACAACUCAUGGAAAGGCUGAUAGAACCACAGUUCCUGAUGCAAUAAUGCGAAAUCUCAAAGAGCAACUUGCAACAGUUUUUGCCAAUUACUCGUGGACGUGCGUCAGACGAAGUCUUAAUCAGAGCGGCCUAGAUAGGAAGACAAAAACGAAAGUAAUCAGCAAUGCAAUUGUGAUUCUGUAAUAAUGAUAUGUGAAAAAUUUUUUUUAUACA
Molecule: non-coding RNA, 622 nt
Organism: Hydra vulgaris (swiftwater hydra)
Lineage: Eukaryota; Metazoa; Cnidaria; Hydrozoa; Anthoathecata; Hydridae
Source: RefSeq, a predicted model, not a curated record